UCCGGUUUGUCACCGGCAGUCUCCUUAGAGUGCCCAACUAAAUGCUGGCAACUAAGAACAAGGGUUGCGCUCGUUGCGGGACUUAACCCAACAUCUCACGACACGAGCUGACGACAACCAUGCACCACCUGUCACUCUGUCCCCCGAAGGGGAACGCCCUAUCUCUAGGGUUGUCAGAGGAUGUCAAGCCCAGGUAAGGUUCUUCGCGUUGCCUCGAAUUAAACCACACGCUCCGCUGCUUGUGCGGGCCCCCGCCUAUUCCUUUGAGUUUUAACCUUGCGGCCGUACUCCCCAGGCGGUCAACUUCACGCGUUAGCUUCGUUACCAAGGAAUUACUUCCCCGACAACUAGUUGACAUCGUUUAGGGCGUGGACUAC
RNAcentral lists this unclassified non-coding RNA (377 nucleotides) under uncultured bacterium. Its description in RNAcentral is "contains 16S-23S intergenic spacer region". The record is from RNAcentral.